RNAcentral lists this ribosomal RNA (875 nucleotides) under Escherichia coli. Its description in RNAcentral is "partial 23S ribosomal RNA". It matches the Rfam family "Bacterial large subunit ribosomal RNA", at positions 362 to 1239 of the family's 2925-position model. Lineage: Bacteria; Pseudomonadati; Pseudomonadota; Gammaproteobacteria; Enterobacterales; Enterobacteriaceae. The record is from RNAcentral.
GGGUGACAGCCCCGUACACAAAAAUGCACAUGCUGUGAGCUCGAUGAGUAGGGCGGGACACGUGGUAUCCUGUCUGAAUAUGGGGGGACCAUCCUCCAAGGCUAAAUACUCCUGACUGACCGAUAGUGAACCAGUACCGUGAGGGAAAGGCGAAAAGAACCCCGGCGAGGGGAGUGAAAAAGAACCUGAAACCGUGUACGUACAAGCAGUGGGAGCACAGAGCAAUCUGUGUGACUGCGUACCUUUUGUAUAAUGGGUCAGCGACUUAUAUUCUGUAGCAAGGUUAACCGAAUAGGGGAGCCGAAGGGAAACCGAGUCUUAACUGGGCGUUAAGUUGCAGGGUAUAGACCCGAAACCCGGUGAUCUAGCCAUGGGCAGGUUGAAGGUUGGGUAACACUAACUGGAGGACCGAACCGACUAAUGUUGAAAAAUUAGCGGAUGACUUGUGGCUGGGGGUGAAAGGCCAAUCAAACCGGGAGAUAGCUGGUUCUCCCCGAAAGCUAUUUAGGUAGCGCCUCGUGAAUUCAUCUCCGGGGGUAGAGCACUGUUUCGGCAAGGGGGUCAUCCCGACUUACCAACCCGAUGCAAACUGCGAAUACCGGAGAAUGUUAUCACGGGAGACACACGGCGGGUGCUAACGUCCGUCGUGAAGAGGGAAACAACCCAGACCGCCAGCUAAGGUCCCAAAGUCAUGGUUAAGUGGGAAACGAUGUGGGAAGGCCCAGACAGCCAGGAUGUUGGCUUAGAAGCAGCCAUCAUUUAAAGAAAGCGUAAUAGCUCACUGGUCGAGUCGGCCUGCGCGGAAGAUGUAACGGGGCUAAACCAUGCACCGAAGCUGCGGCAGCGACACUGUGUGUUGUUGGGUAGGGGAGCGU